GUUACUUUCCUUCCCCCACUUGGGUGGUGUUUGCUCCUGAAUCAAACAGCCUGAGGUUUGGGUCCUGGAGAAAACCUGGUGUGCUCCCUGGAAAACUGCUAAGACAAAAACUCCUCCCACUCAGUGCUCUGGGUGACUGUCUUAAGGCUAAACUGAUGAUAUCUUACAAAGAUUCAGGACUGGAAAAAACAUCAUCAGAGAUAUCAGCAAAACAUAUAUGACAUCUACACAAGGAACCAUGAAUAGUGAUGUCUGGUUUAAUAAAAUCAGUGCUUUCCUGGAAGCCACCUUGAGAAAUGCAAGUGGCUAC
Long non-coding RNA from Alligator sinensis (Chinese alligator), 310 nucleotides. RefSeq lists it as uncharacterized. The transcript is spliced from 3 exons. The record is from RefSeq and is a predicted model, not a curated record. Lineage: Eukaryota; Metazoa; Chordata; Crocodylia; Alligatoridae.